This 322-nucleotide ribosomal RNA is filed under the name uncultured archaeon. RNAcentral's name for it is "bacterial SSU rRNA". It matches the Rfam family "Archaeal small subunit ribosomal RNA", at positions 1 to 329 of the family's 1478-position model. The record is from RNAcentral.
UUCCGGUUGAUCAGGCCAGACCCGACUGCUAUCAGAGUGGGACUAAGCCAUGCGAGUUAACGUAGCAAUACGUGGCAUACGGCUCAGUAACACGUAGUCAACAUGCCCAGGGGACGUGGAUAACCUCGGGAAACUGAGGAUAAACCGCGAUAGGUCAUGAUUUCUGGAAUGAUUCAUGGCCGAAAUCUACAUGGCCCCUGGAUUGGACUGCGGCCGAUCAGGCUGUUGGUGAGGUAAUGGCCCACCAAACCUGUUACCGGUACGGGCUCUGAGAGGAGGAGCCCGGAGAUGGGCACUGAGACAAGGGCCCAGGCCCUAUGGG